UACGUAGGGUGCAAGCGUUAAUCGGAAUUACUGGGCGUAAAGCGUGCGCAGGCGGUUUUAUAAGACGGAUGUGAAAUCCCCGGGCUCAACCUGGGAACUGCAUUUGUGACUGUAGAGCUGGAGUGCGGCAGAGGGGGAUGGAAUUCCGCGUGUAGCAGUGAAAUGCGUAGAUAUGCGGAGGAACACCGAUGGCGAAGGCAAUCCCCUGGGCCUGCACUGACGCUCAUGCACGAAAGCGUGGGGAGCAAACAGG
Molecule: ribosomal RNA, 253 nt
Filed under: uncultured bacterium
Lineage: Bacteria
Description: partial 16S ribosomal RNA
Rfam family: Bacterial small subunit ribosomal RNA
Source: RNAcentral